Drosophila mojavensis is the source of this 3130-nucleotide long non-coding RNA. RefSeq lists it as uncharacterized. The record is from RefSeq and is a predicted model, not a curated record. The transcript has 2 exons. Lineage: Eukaryota; Metazoa; Arthropoda; Insecta; Diptera; Drosophilidae.
UCGUCGUCGUCGUCGGUCGGUCGGUCGGUCGCUUCGCCUCACCUCUCCACUCUUCUCUUCGCUAUAUUUCGUUUCGUCUCUCUUCGCUAUCGUCUGCUGGCGUUGUUUCCAGCGCGCGUGUAGCUGGGCAUAUGUGUGAAUGUGUGUAUACAUAUAUGUGUGUGUAUCUGUAUGUGUGUGGGCUGUGUAUUUGUAUCUGUAUCUGCUGUGUAUAUGAGGCUAUGGCUGUGACUCCGGCUGUUCGCUGUUGCGAUACUAACGAACGAACGUCCCAAAUGUCGACGUUGCCGUUGCCGUUGCUUUUGCUGUUGCUGUUGCUGUUGUUGCUUUUUGUAUAUUUUCAGUUUGUAUAGCGAAUGGCAUGGUACGACGCCUGAGGAGGGAGCUGGCUGGUUGCUGUUGCUGUUGCUGAAGUGGUUGCUGUUGGCUGGGCUGCUCGAGGACGUCCGUUCGUUCAUUUCGUAUCGUUUCGUAGCGUUUCGUUUCGUCUUUUGGUUCGUUUGUGCGUUUGCGUGCAAAAGCAACGAAAACUCAUAUUCAUUUUAUAGUGAAACUCAACUCAACGCAGCUUAAGCUUAAUGUACAGAAGUAGCAGCAGCAGCAGCAGCAGCAGCCGCAGCAACAUUCCAACUGGCAGCUUAAAUGUUGUUGCUGUUACGGCUUGGUUUCUUCGUUGGUUGGCUGCCUUCGCCUGCGCGAAGGUUUUUGAAAAACGCGCGCAGCUGUUACAGCAAUUGGGUAACAUUAGCCUCAGGAACCCAUUUAAAGCAAAUCAGUAUUUGCUCGCCUGCUAGACUCUCAAUAUAAUAGAACUUAAAGAGUAAUUUAGUUGCGAAUGAGAAAUACACUCUUCACCUAUCCAUACUUUCUAGUCCUAAUCGACUAAUAUGGAGCCCUUAGAUUCUAUAUUCUAUAUAAUUUUUCGUUUAUAUUCUAUAUACUAUUUAAAAUCAUAAGACUUGUGCCGGCAUUUGCAUCUGAAGCUGACUGCGCACAAUUUUACCAAAAUUUAACAGAGCAACAGAAACAGAAACUGAAACUUAACCAAACGAAUGUUCGCAUUAAAGUUUAUUUCGAAACCAACUCACUGGCGGCAGCAGCAGCAGCAGCAGCAGCAGCAGCAGCAGCAGCAACAGCAACGGCAACAGAGCCAGCAGCAGCAGUGGCAGCAAAAAAAAAGCCCCAACAGCAACGCAAAUGAAAAACGCCAACGAACAACGAACGAGCGCACAGAAAGCAGCACACAGCAACAACAACAAUAAUAAAAAAAAAAAAAGAGAAAAAAUCAAGUAAAAUUACGACAAGCAAAGAGGCAGCAGUGACGGCAGCAGCGAGGGCAGCGGCAGCAACGUUGAAAGAAAACAAGAAACUUCGUCGCAGCAGCAACGAAUGUGGGGAGCAGGGCGUCCACAUGGCAGAGAGAGCGAGAGAGAGACAGUGAGAACUAGGUAGGGAUGUAGAAGCGGGAAGAGUGGGACAAGGGAAAGCAGCCGCACAAAGUGUGUGACUGUUUGAGUGCCUCUGUGUGUGUGUGUGUGUGUGUGCGGUGGGGCGAAGGUGAAGCAUGCGAUGGCGUUGGCUGCUAUAACGUCAGGCAAGACUGAGGCGAAAACGACGACAGCGAUGAAAAAACCCAGCACCGAACGAACCAACAGUGCCAGCAAAAAUUUAUAAUAAAAGCAGCAGCAGCAACAGCAACAACAACGACAACGACAGCGGCAGACGUUGAAGGCAACAACGAUGGCGUUGCUUGCAACUCUGAACAGUGCCAGGCCAACCAGCCCGUCAACUAUCCAACGAGCAGCACAGCUUUAGCUGCCUCUCCAAAGAAAAGAGAAGAGAAGAGAGAUAUACCCUGCAUCUUAAUCCACUGUUCACUCCAAUCAUUCAACCUUACCAAGCGGCAGGGCAAAACGCAAAUGUCAAGAAGAACGAGCGAACCCAACGAACGCAGUUCUGUCGGCAACAACAACAACAAUGACGACGACGACGACAACGACGACGAUGAAAACACCAAGGAGUGGGCGGCAGCCCAAGUGUUGGAACGCUAGUGCUGUCUACCAGGAGCUGAGUACGAGGCCUAAAAUAUUCCCGCCAGCUCUCCCCAGAGCGCCUCACACCACAUUUCAGUACGAUAAAGGAAAUGCCACACCACUGUGACAAUACAUUUGCUAGAGCUGGCCCCCAAAGCCAGGGCAUACCGUAGCCUGAAUAGUCGUCCUCGGUGCUCGGUGCUCGGUCCUCAUCGACGUCGUCGUCUUCGUUGUCGUUGUAGUUGUUGUUUUCGUUCUAAGCGACGCACAUGGCCGCAUACCACAGAGCGGAGCACACUCUGCUCGAGCCCUGAGUCAGAACCUGCAGUCGACAACAGCAACAACAACAACAAUGUCGAAUGUCGGUCCGCUCUUAUACGAUUGCUGCUUCAUGUGCUUUAGUGCCGAGCCAACACUGGCUCCAGCACAGGCUACAUCAGCACCGCCGGCACCGUCACCGCCAACAACUCUGGGCUCUGGCUCCACUGCUUGAAUUUUGUUGCCGCUGCCAUUGCCGUUGCCUCUGCCUCUGCCUUAUUCCCAUUUACAGCGUCAGCUCUGAAACGUAGGGCUUGGGACUUUAGUUCUGACUCUGACUGUGUCUUUGGCUCGAGCAGUCGAGCUACGACCAUUGCCGUCUGCUGCUGGCUGGUUUGUAGGUUCUGGUUCUCAAGCAAGCACAUGGCUAACAGCAACAAAAGCGACGUUGACGACGACGACGACCAGUUGCCACUUGCGCAACGCAAAAAAAAAAAAAAAAAAAAAAAAUCGAAAAGAAAAGAAAACCCAACAGCAACAUCGAUCGAUGUAUGUGUAUAAAAAUAGAGGGAGCCUUACUCUCAUAUGGGUAGGUGGGAAAUAAUUAUCAUAUUUGGGGUAAAUAUAUAUGUAUAUCUAGAGCACAUGAAGGGUAUAAGUACAAAUAUAUUAUAUUAUUGGAAGUUCAGACGAAUGUAUUAGCUAUAAAUAUUAUAGUUAGCGGCUGAUCAGAUUAAGGACAGCUUAAUUUAGCCAUAGCAUUAACUAAUAAAACAAAACCAUGUAGAAAAUAAUUUUGUAAAAUUAAAUAAAAAGACUUUGAUUUAAAAGAAAAUAUA